This 71-nucleotide transfer RNA is filed under the name Mesocricetus auratus (golden hamster). It matches the Rfam family "tRNA". From Rfam's summary of the family: Transfer RNA (tRNA) molecules are approximately 80 nucleotides in length. Their secondary structure includes four short double-helical elements and three loops (D, anti-codon, and T loops). The record is from Rfam by way of RNAcentral. Lineage: Eukaryota; Metazoa; Chordata; Mammalia; Rodentia; Cricetidae.
GGAGAUGUGGCUCAGUGGUUUAGAGCACUGGCUGCUCUUCCAGAGGACCUGGGUUUAAUCCCCAGCCCCCA